Molecule: non-coding RNA, 107 nt
Organism: Penaeus vannamei (Pacific white shrimp)
Lineage: Eukaryota; Metazoa; Arthropoda; Malacostraca; Decapoda; Penaeidae
Source: RefSeq, a predicted model, not a curated record
GGCAAGUCAGACGGUGCUUAGAAAAACGGUGUCCGGUUGUAGAAAGAUGAUUGCCCCCAAAACUGAGUAAAUAAAGGAACUACGCAAAGUGCAUAAAGAUAACAAAC